RNAcentral lists this ribosomal RNA (497 nucleotides) under uncultured bacterium. RNAcentral describes it as "partial 16S ribosomal RNA". It matches the Rfam family "Bacterial small subunit ribosomal RNA", at positions 28 to 507 of the family's 1533-position model. The record is from RNAcentral.
GAUGAACGCUGGCGGCGUGCCUAAUACAUGCAAGUCGAGCGAACGGACGAGAAGCUUGCUUCUCUGAUGUUAGCGGCGGACGGGUGAGUAACACGUGGAUAACCUACCUAUAAGCCUGGGAUAACUUCGGGAAACCGGAGCUAAUACCGGAUAAUAUUUUGAACCGCAUGGUUCAAAAGUGAAAGACGGUCUUGCUGUCACUUAUAGAUGGAUCCGCGCUGCAUUAGCUAGUUGGUAAGGUAACGGCUUACCAAGGCAACGAUGCAUAGCCGACCUGAGAGGGUGAUCGGCCACACUGGAACUGAGACACGGUCCAGACUCCUACGGGAGGCAGCAGUAGGGAAUCUUCCGCAAUGGGCGAAAGCCUGACGGAGCAACGCCGCGUGAGUGAUGAAGGUCUUCGGAUCGUAAAACUCUGCUAUUAGGGAAGAACAUAUGUGUAAGUAACUGUGCACAUCUUGACGGUACCUAAUCAGAAAGCCACGGCUAACUACGUG